RNAcentral lists this ribosomal RNA (119 nucleotides) under Pteropus alecto (black flying fox). Lineage: Eukaryota; Metazoa; Chordata; Mammalia; Chiroptera; Pteropodidae. The record is from RNAcentral.
GUCUACGGCCAUGCCACCCUGAACGUGCCCGAUCUCGUCUGAUCUCGGAAGCUAAGCAGGGUCAGGCCUGGUUAGUACUUGGAUGGGAGACCACCUAGGAAGACCGGGUGCUGUAGGCG